This 252-nucleotide ribosomal RNA is filed under the name uncultured bacterium. Its description in RNAcentral is "partial 16S ribosomal RNA". It matches the Rfam family "Bacterial small subunit ribosomal RNA", at positions 524 to 776 of the family's 1533-position model. The record is from RNAcentral.
UACGUAGGGUGCAAGCGUUGUCCGGAAUUAUUGGGCGUAAAGAGCUCGUAGGCGGUCUGUCACGUCGGCUGUGAAAACCCGGGGCUCAACCCCGGGCCUGCAGUCGAUACGGGCAGACUAGAGUGCGGUAGGGGAGACUGGAAUUCCUGGUGUAGCGGUGAAAUGCGCAGAUAUCAGGAGGAACACCGGUGGCGAAGGCGGGUCUCUGGGCCGACUAUGCGCUGAGGAGCGAAAGCGUGGGGAGCGAACAGG